AGGAAGUUGAAGGGGUGUGAAAACAAGAAUUUUGAGGAAAUGAGCAACCCUUAGUGUUUAAUGAUCUAAGAACAUCAACUGCUCACUAGCAUGCCUGCAAAUGUGUGUCUUGCUGUUUUACAAUGGGGAGCCUGUUGUAUCAUUCAAUGUGGAAAGGUGAUCGAUUUUUACUUAUCAGAGAACAGAGAAGUAAAAGAGAAAAAUUGUAUUAUUUUUAUCAUAUGAGCUAGUUUCAUUGCUUUAGCUAUGCUUGCCUGCCCAUUUAUAUAGCUUGUUGCCGUGUUGUAAAUCUUUAGAAGUUUUCUCCUUUUCGUUUAUUUAAUAUUUUGUCUUCUCCAGCUUUAUUUUGUAAUUUUGUAAAUUUCCCAAUUUAUAAGAUGAUAUUCUUUCGUGACUAAAAUAGUUUAGAGAACAGAGAAGUAAAAGGGACAAAUUGUAUUAUUUUUAUCAUAUGAGCUAGUUUCAUUGCUUUAGCUAUGCUUGCCUGCCCAUUUAUAUAGCUUGUUGCC
RNAcentral lists this long non-coding RNA (509 nucleotides) under Nicotiana benthamiana. Its description in RNAcentral is "long non-coding RNA (NBEN_LNC007600)". The record is from RNAcentral. Lineage: Eukaryota; Viridiplantae; Streptophyta; Magnoliopsida; Solanales; Solanaceae.